GGGGGCGUAGCUCAGUUGGGAGAGCGACGGCUUUGCAAGCCGUAGGUCGUCGGUUCGAUCCCGAUCGCCUCCACCA
This 76-nucleotide transfer RNA is filed under the name uncultured Alphaproteobacteria bacterium. Its description in RNAcentral is "tRNA-Ala". It matches the Rfam family "tRNA". From Rfam's summary of the family: Transfer RNA (tRNA) molecules are approximately 80 nucleotides in length. Their secondary structure includes four short double-helical elements and three loops (D, anti-codon, and T loops). The record is from RNAcentral. Lineage: Bacteria; Pseudomonadati; Pseudomonadota; Alphaproteobacteria.